GUAAAGUUUAAUUUACAAACUAGGCACAAAAAGAGAUUAAUAGUAAUAACUAAUAAUAAAAUAGAACAAUUAUAACAAACACCAGCAUCCCUACUCUUGUGCUUUGGGGCCAUUAUGAAGACAUAUAAAGAUGACUUGAACACAAGCACUAUGACACUAGGACAAUCAAUCUGAUCAUUGAAAUGGGGCUUCUAAGAGGAUGGUAGUAUAAACAGUGUAGAGAUGCUGGACAAAGGGAGGAUUCAUGUCCUGGGUGGCAUGGAGUGGGACUGAGAGAUUUCAUUGUGAUCCUUAGAAUGGUGCACUGUUUAAAACAGGGUUCUCCAACCCUGUUAGGAACCAGGCUGCACAGCAGGAGGUGAGCAGAGGACUUGCAGGAUUCCAGCUCCUCAAGCCCUUCACACUCCACAAUAUUCCCCCACUCAGUCAACAUUCUCAGUGAAGAUCUUCAACCAUGUGGUAGCACUGGAGUCUCUCGGAGCCUACUCUGGUUUAGGGGCUUCCCGAUUCACAAAUCAUUCUUUGCUCAACUGAACUCUGUUAAAUUUAAUUUGGCUUAAGAUUUUUCUUUUAACAUCAGACACAUAC
RNAcentral lists this long non-coding RNA (588 nucleotides) under Callithrix jacchus (white-tufted-ear marmoset). RNAcentral's name for it is "lncRNA (ENSCJAG00000052623.2)". Lineage: Eukaryota; Metazoa; Chordata; Mammalia; Primates; Cebidae. The record is from RNAcentral.